RNAcentral lists this ribosomal RNA (520 nucleotides) under uncultured Entrophospora. Its description in RNAcentral is "SSU rRNA". It matches the Rfam family "Eukaryotic small subunit ribosomal RNA", at positions 569 to 1085 of the family's 1831-position model. Lineage: Eukaryota; Fungi; Glomeromycota; Glomeromycetes; Entrophosporales; Entrophosporaceae. The record is from RNAcentral.
AGCAGCCGCGGUAAUUCCAGCUCCAAUAGCGUAUAUUAAAGUUGUUGCAGUUAAAAAGCUCGUAGUUGAAUUUCGGGAUUGACACAUCGGUCGUGCCUUAAGGGGUAUGAACUGGUGUAGUCAAUUUCUCACCUUCUGGAGAACCACGAUGCCCUUAAUUGGGUGUCGCGGGGAACCAGGACCUUUACUUUGAAAAAAUUAGAGUGUUUAAAGCAGGCAUUUUGCUUGAAUACAUUAGCAUGGAAUAAUAAAAUAGGACGGCAUGAUUCUAUUUUGUUGGUUUCUAGGAUCACCGUAAUGAUUAAUAGGGAUAGUUGGGGGCAUUAGUAUUCAAUUGUCAGAGGUGAAAUUCUUGGAUUUAUUGAAGACUAACUACUGCGAAAGCAUUUGCCAAGGAUGUUUUCAUUAAUCAAGAACGAAAGUUAGGGGAUCGAAGACGAUCAGAUACCGUCGUAGUCUUAACCAUAAACUAUGCCGACUAGGAAUCAGACGAUGUUAAUUUUUAAUGACUCGUUUGGCA